UACGAGUACCCCGAGCGUUAUCCGGAAUUAUUGGGCGUAAAGGGUGUGUAGGCGGUAUAGUUAGUCAUUUGUUAAAACCUCGGGCCCAACCUGAGAGAUGCAAGUGAAACGGCUAAACUAAGAGCCUGUGAGAGGUGUACAGAACUUAUGGUGUAGGGGUGAAAUCCGUUGAUAUCAUGGGGAAUACCAAAUGCGAAGGCAGUACACUGGCACAGCGCUGACGCUGAAACACGAAAGCGUGGGUAGCGAAUGGGAUUAGAUACCCCUGUAGU
Molecule: ribosomal RNA, 272 nt
Filed under: uncultured bacterium
Lineage: Bacteria
Description: partial 16S ribosomal RNA
Rfam family: Bacterial small subunit ribosomal RNA
Source: RNAcentral